Mustela lutreola (European mink) is the source of this 714-nucleotide long non-coding RNA. RefSeq lists it as uncharacterized. The record is from RefSeq and is a predicted model, not a curated record. NCBI's taxonomy places the organism in Eukaryota, Metazoa, Chordata, Mammalia, Carnivora, Mustelidae. The transcript has 5 exons.
GCCAGGGCAAAGUCAAACACAGGCACCUCCCACCCCUGGGAACUUUGGCCCCAGCCCUGAGAUCAGCUCAGACAGAAGACAGCGAGGCACAGUGCACAGCCCGGCAGGAAAGCAGCUGGGUCCUGAGGCUGGUGCAGACAGAACAGCCGAGCCAUUUCCUGCCCUGUGAGCUGGGCAAGCAGACACCAGUCAGUGAGAACCAACAUGAAUGGCAGCGGUCACCGGUCAGUAGGUACUGUCACGGAACCCUAACGAGGAUAAGCAGCCUGAGAUAAGAGCUAAAAGACCAAGAACUGGAAAGUCUGCGUGUCUCCAUCCCUUGGUGAUAAGGCAGAGAGUGCUUUGCUGACUCAGCCUCUCCACAGUGCCCAGCUUUCUGUGGCCUCUGUGGCUCUCGAAGGCCAGGCCUUCGCAUCAGCUGUUCCCUCUGCUAGGAACACUUAGACCUCAGUUGUAGCCACAUCAAGGACCCCUUUGGACUAUGGAAAUACUCCCCAGAUUUGGGGGGGGUGAAUGGACAUCAGACACCUUAGGAGACAUGAAUGGACGCCUGCAAUUUACCGUCAAACCAAGAGGCAGAAAAAUAAAGCAAACAGAGUACAAUAUGAGCAACGAGGAGUCUGGGUAUACAGGCGUUCUCCGUACUAUUCUGACAAGAUUAUAUGAGUCUUAAACUAUGUCAAUAACUAUAAGUAAACAUUUAAAUUAUUGGUA